AAGGCGAUGAUGGGUAGCCGGCCUGAGAGGGUGACCGGUCACAUNGGAANUGAGACNCGNUCCAGACUNCUACGGGAGGCAGCAGGCUAGAAAAUUGGGCAAUGGGCGCAAGCCUGACCCAGCGACGCCGCGUGAGUGAUGAAGGCUUUCGGGUCGUAAAACUCUGUUAGAAGGGAAGAUGGGAUGUAAUGUUAAUACCAUUGCAUUCUGACGUUGUACCUUCAUAGGAAGCUCCGGCUAACUCCGUGCCAGCAGCCGCGGUAAUACGGAGGGAGCAAGCGUUGUCCGGAAUCACUGGGCGUAAAGGGAGCGUAGGUGGACAGGUAAGUUAGAUGUGAAAUCUUACAGCUCAACUGUAAAAUUGCAUCUAAUACUGCUUGUCUUGAGUGCAGAAGGGGAGAGCGGAACUCCUAGUGUAGCGGUGGAAUGCGCAGAUAUUAGGAGGAACACCGGUGGCGAAGGCGGCUCUCUGGUCUGUAACUGACACUGAAGCUCGAAAGUUAGGGUAGCAAACAGGAUUAGAUACCCUGGUAGUCCUAACCGUAAACGAUGGGCACUAGGCGUGGGGUUUACUCCGUGCCGCAGUUAACGCGUUAAGUGCCCCGCCUGGGGAGUACGGUCGCAAGACUGAAACUCAAAGGAAUUGACGGGACCCCGCACAAGCGGUGGAGGAUGUGGUUCAAUUCGAAGCUACGCGAAGAACCUUACCCGGGCUUGACAUCCCGAGAAUCUUCUGGAAACAGAGGAGUGCCCCUCGGGGAGCUUGGAGACAGGUGCUGCAUGGCUGUCGUCAGCUCGUGCCGUGAGGUGUUGGGUUAAGUCCCGCAACGAGCGCAACCCU
RNAcentral lists this ribosomal RNA (841 nucleotides) under uncultured bacterium. Its description in RNAcentral is "bacterial SSU rRNA". It matches the Rfam family "Bacterial small subunit ribosomal RNA", at positions 270 to 1105 of the family's 1533-position model. The record is from RNAcentral.